UAUUUUGUUAUGUUCCUCACUGAGUAUAUUUUCAAUAUGCUCACCCCUUAUUUUCUCAGUUUUGCAGUUCUGGAGUCGAGGUGGCCAUGGAAGUCGAGAAUGACUAGAGAUUUAGUAUUUCCAUAGAAAUUUAAGUUGAAACAUGUUACUUUUUUAGUUUAUCAUUUUAUUUCAUGUUACUACUUUAGUUUUGACAAGUUGAUUUCAAAUUGAUUUAAACUUUUAUAAUUCAAGAAAUUUUAUUUUUAUCUAUUAGUUUUCAAAGAUUUUAUAUUGAAAAGUUUAUGAAAAUUGGGGUGUUACAUAGUGGUAUCAGAGCGGGUCUACGUUCCUGUAGACUCGUGCCCAAAAAAAAAUGUUUUGCUUUCAAAAAGGUUUAAGUAAGCUUAAAAGGUUAGAUAAGCCUAGUCAUUCGAAACUCAUGGGCUGCAUCGACUCCAAGGUAUGUGUUUUAAUUGCUUAAGUAUACGACCGUUAGGAUGUUUUACAUGACUUUUUUUUAUGAUGCCUUUAUGUUCUAGUACUAUUAUGUUUAGCUUCGUUAGAAAUAGUUGAAAUUGUGAAAUUGUUAGAUGGUACGGACACGUCAAACUCCCACUAGAGCUCAAGUACCCUACAAGCACGAAUUGAGAAAUUGCGCGAAGAAUAUAUGAAAGAUUAAGUGAACGUUGUGAAUUCUUGCGUGUACAAUGCGAGAGAUACGAAAGGAUUAGGAGGCUGCAAUCGGUGUACGACUGCUAUACAUGGAGUAGCGACUACGGGUUCGUGGAACACGUGCGAAGGAUGAAGUUACCUCACCAUAGAACUAGAUUAUAUGGCUCAAGAAUCGUGACUAGAAUUUCGAGGACGAAAUUAUUUUAAGUGGGGUAGGUUGUAACACCCCGAUAAUUUAGAUUUAUUUUAUAAGUUUAAUUAAUAGUAUUUUCUUGUAUAGCUUAUUUUUUUAAAUAAUUACAUGAUACAUAUAGAUAUGCACCAUUAAUUUUAUCUAGACUAUUAUUAUUAUUAUUAUUAUUAUUAUUAUUAUUAUUAUUAUUAUUAGUUAUUAUUAUUUAUUAUUUAUUAUUAUUNAAUAUUUAUUAAUAAUAAGUUUUUUUAUUUAAUUAUGCAGAUAUUAGUUAUGUCCUUAGAAUAUUUAAUUAUCGAUAUUUUAUAUAUUUAUAAGUUUUUAUUUAGGAUUUUAUAUUAGGAUUGUUUGAAUUUUAUGUGAUUAGGUGCGGCGCAUUUAAGACCUUCAUUCCGGAUUUGAGUUAAUUGCCUACGACUUUAAGGUGAGGGAUUUUACGCUUAUUCAUAUGGUUAUAUAUAUUUUUAUUAUCGCGUUUGAUUACUUGUUUACGUGCAUCUUAUGACUAUGUUGUUACGUGUGAUCAUGGGACCUAAGCCAUUGAUCUAUGUUGUUACGUGUGUAUCAUGGGACCUAAGCCAUUGACUAUGUUGUUAUGUGUGAUCAUGGGAUCUAAGCCAUUGAUCUAUUAUGUUAUGUGCGAUCAUGGGACCUAAGCCAUUGAUCUAUGUUAUGUGCGAUCAUGGGACCUAAGCCAUUGAUCUAUGUUAUGUGUGAUCAUGGGCCUAAGCCAUUGAUCUAUGUUAUGUGUGAUCAUGGGACCUAAGCCAUUGAUCGAUCAUGGGACCUAAGCCAUUGAUUUAUGUAUGUGUUUGGUCAUGGGACUUAAGCCAUCGACUCAAAAUAUGAUUAUGUUUGUCAAGGGGCUCUAGUCUCUUGGCGUAUGUUUGCAAGUAUGAUAAUGUGAUUUAUUUAUAUAUGUGACAUAUAUGAAUAUUUUGUUAUGUUCCUCACUGAGUAUAUUUUCAAUAUGCUCACCCUUUUUUUUCUCAGUUUUGCAGUUCUGGAGUCGAGGUGGCCAUGGAAGUCGAGAAUGACUAGAGAUUUAGUAUUUCCAUAGAAAUUUAAGUUGAAACAUGUUACUUUUUUUAGUUUAUCAUUUUAUUUCAUGUUACUACUUUAGUUUUGACAAGUUGAUUUCAAAUUGAUUUAAACUUUUAUAAUUCAAGAAAAU
This 2021-nucleotide long non-coding RNA is filed under the name Salvia miltiorrhiza (redroot sage). Its description in RNAcentral is "long non-coding RNA (SMIL_LNC006027)". The record is from RNAcentral. Lineage: Eukaryota; Viridiplantae; Streptophyta; Magnoliopsida; Lamiales; Lamiaceae.